RNAcentral lists this ribosomal RNA (301 nucleotides) under uncultured bacterium. RNAcentral describes it as "partial 16S ribosomal RNA". It matches the Rfam family "Bacterial small subunit ribosomal RNA", at positions 509 to 808 of the family's 1533-position model. The record is from RNAcentral.
CAGUCGCCGCGGUAAUACGUAGGUCCCGAGCGUUGUUCGGAUUUAUUGGGCGUAAAGCGAGCGCAGGCGGUUAGAUAAGUCUGAAGUUAAAGGCUGUGGCUUAACCAUAGUACGCUUUGGAAACUGUUUAACUUGAGUGCAAGAGGGGAGAGUGGAAUUCCAUGUGUAGCGGUGAAAUGUGUAGAUAUAUGGAGGAACACCGGUGGCGAAAGCGGCUCUCUGGCUUGUAACUGUCGCUGAGGCUCGAAAGCGUGGGGAGCAAGCAGGAUUAGAUACCCCUGUAGUCCCUGUCUCUUAUACA